CUAUAAUGCAGUCGANNAGUUCUGAUUAUUGAAAGGUGCUUGCAUCUUGAUUUAAUUUUGAACGAGUGGCGGACGGGUGAGUAACACGUGGGUAACCUGCCCUUAAGUGGGGGAUAACAUUUGGAAACAGAUGCUAAUACCGCAUAAAUCCAAGAACCGCAUGGUUCUUGGCUGAAAGAUGGCGUAAGCUAUCGCUUUUGGAUGGACCCGCGGCGUAUUAGCUAGUUGGUGAGGUAACGGCUCACCAAGGCAAUGAUACGUAGCCGAACUGAGAGGUUGAUCGGCCACAUUGGGACUGAGACACGGCCCAAACUCCUACGGGAGGCAGCAGUAGGGAAUCUUCCACAAUGGACGCAAGUCUGAUGGAGCAACGCCGCGUGAGUGAAGAAGGCUUUCGGGUCGUAAAACUCUGUUGUUGGAGAAGAAUGGUCGGCAGAGUAACUGUUGUCGGCGUGACGGUAUCCAACCAGAAAGCCACGGCUAACUACGUGCCAGCC
Molecule: ribosomal RNA, 497 nt
Filed under: Lacticaseibacillus rhamnosus
Lineage: Bacteria; Bacillati; Bacillota; Bacilli; Lactobacillales; Lactobacillaceae
Description: bacterial SSU rRNA
Rfam family: Bacterial small subunit ribosomal RNA
Source: RNAcentral